GGAUGAAGAACGUAGCGAAAUGCGAUAAGUAAUGUGAAUUGCAGAAUUCAGUGAAUCAUCGAAUCUUUGAACGCACAUUGCGCCCCUUGGUAUUCCGAGGGGCAUGCCCGUUCGAGCGUCAUUAUACCCCUCAAGCCUAGCUUGGUGUUGGGGCCUGCUGUUACCGGCAGCCCUUAAAAUCAGUGGCGGUGCCAUCUGGCUCUAAGCGUAGUAAUACUUCUCGCUACAGGGUCCCGGUGGAUGCUUGCCAUCAACCCCUAAUUUUCUAUGGUUGACCUCGGAUCGGGUAGGGAUACCCGCUGAACUUAAGCAUAUCAAUAAGCGGAGGA
This 329-nucleotide unclassified non-coding RNA is filed under the name soil metagenome. RNAcentral describes it as "partial contains 5.8S ribosomal RNA, internal transcribed spacer 2, and large subunit ribosomal RNA". The stretch from base 2 to 121 matches the Rfam family "5.8S ribosomal RNA", at positions 35 to 154 of the family's 154-position model. The record is from RNAcentral.